GUUUAGCUUCUAUUUGGAUUUUACAAGUUGCUGCAAUGUCUUCUAGGCUAUCUGAUUGUUUUCUGGUUGUUUAGCUUCUCAUUUGUUCUUGGUUUCAGUUUUGUAUCAGUGUUUGAGUGGGGUUUUUUCAUCAAUAUUUGCGGCUAGUUUCAGGGGGAUCUAUGGGGAGGAUCCCUUGAUCCUGGGCUCUGUAUCUGCUGGUUUCACCACUCUGUUGUUUUCUUCCUUAUUAAUUAUAAUUUUUUGCUGCUUAUUUUUCUUGUUUUGUUGACGCAAAACACACUCCUCGCACAUAGUGAAAAUAGGAAGAAAGUACCCUGCUGGAUUUU
Molecule: unclassified non-coding RNA, 329 nt
Filed under: Hevea brasiliensis (rubber tree)
Lineage: Eukaryota; Viridiplantae; Streptophyta; Magnoliopsida; Malpighiales; Euphorbiaceae
Source: RNAcentral